Molecule: ribosomal RNA, 406 nt
Filed under: Virgibacillus profundi
Lineage: Bacteria; Bacillati; Bacillota; Bacilli; Caryophanales; Bacillaceae
Description: bacterial SSU rRNA
Rfam family: Bacterial small subunit ribosomal RNA
Source: RNAcentral
GAACAGGAUUAGAUACCCUGGUAGUCCACGCCCUAAACGAUGUCAACUAGUUGUUGGCGGCUUGCUUCAGUAACGCAGCUAACGCGUGAAGUUGACCGCCUGGGGAGUACGGUCGCAAGAUUAAAACUCAAAGGAAUUGACGGGGACCCGCACAAGCGGUGGAUGAUGUGGAUUAAUUCGAUGCAACGCGAAAAACCUUACCUACCCUUGACAUGUCAGGAACCCGGAGAGAUCGUUUCGUGCUCGAAAGAGAACCUGAACACAGGUGCUGCAUGGCUGUCGUCAGCUCGUGUCGUGAGAUGUUGGGUUAAGUCCCGCAACGAGCGCAACCCUUAUCAUUAGUUGCUACGCAAGGGCACUCUAAUGAGACUGCCGGUGACAAACCGGAGGAAGGUGGGGAUGACGU